AUUUACAGCAGGGUUUUUUUUUUCCAAAUAUGAACACUACAGUUGACAGGUGAACCCCUGCUAUCAGUUAGUCAGGUAAAAAUAACAACAAACCUCCAGCAUAAACACUCCCUUACACUACUUGGGACACACCACAGCGGUUUGUAAAGUUGUCUGCAAGAUAAUGCUUUGUUUAUACACUGUUUUAACAGCUGAUAGCAGAUGCGUGAGACACGCAUGAGAGACGCGUGAGACACUGGCAGUUAUAACAGGUUUGUGUGUGUGUGUGAGAUGGUAUAGAGAAACAGAUUCUUUCAAGGUUUGCCUGCCUCUCUGACACCAUGUGGUUUCACACACACGCUCACACACACGCACACACACACACACACACACACACAGAGGUAUAAAUGUACAGUAUAAAGAUUAGCGAAAAUUGGCAGGUAAAAGUGGCGAGACUUGUUGAGAUCAGAUCAGUGAAGUCUAAUCCUCUCCUGAGGUUGAGUCGUACUCACACAGCCUCAGGAAUCUGGUACCUGAGCCACUGAUGUGUGAAUCUGAGAAAACGACGCUAUGAAAGAUAAUACAAAGAGAGUAGAAGAGCUCAGGAGGACGAAGGAGAAUUAACAAGUAAGGGUUAAUGAGUUCCUCUAUGUGUGUGUGUGCGUGUGUGUGUUAAUGUGCAUGCAGGUCCUUUGCUGAAAGUUGUUGUAUCUGCUUUGACUCCGGUGUACUGGACGGCUGUUCAUGUAUCAGCAGGAAUGAUGAACGGCUUCACCAUCAGCCGCAGGAAUUUCAGACAAGAAUCCUAACUGGAGUUUCACACAGGAGAGAUCUUAAGAAUAACCCAUGUGGUGAGAGGUGUGGAUGCAGAGGGAGUUUUGCUAGUCGAUGUGGUCAUUAAUGCAUUUAUUCCUGCAGUGUUUUUAUCCCCAGUGCUACAUCAGCAGGUCUUAAUUUACGCUUCAUUAGAACUUUACAUUAAUCAUCGAUACAUUAAUAACAUUAAUCAGAUGUGUGGAAUAAAGAUCAUCUUGGGUAAAAAUCCUUGUUUCUAGGACUUUGAUGAGACGUACGUGCAAGUUGGCUCUGGUCAGAUUUACUCCUGGUCUACCCAGAAUUCUUUUCAGCAGGGUGUCAGCUCGGUGCUGACUCUGCGCUGUAAUCACUCGCUGGAGUUUGAUGGAUCAGUGAAAUGUUUCGCUCCACUACUGAAGCAAAUCUGUCAGACAUCAGCAGCUCCUACAACAUGCUCAACUUCAGGCUGUACUUUCACAUCACAGCCACAUUAUCACUGCCAGGUCAUCACAACCAUACAACAAUACUAAUGACAAUACUCACAUCACAACCAUACAACAAUACUAAUGACAAUACUCACAAAGUCCAUCAAUUUCAUCAGGGUCAUGUUCAGGGCUGAGCAGGAGGAACGACAUACACCAUGUCUGGAACGUCAGUAAAAGUCCAAAAUAAUUCUGUAAAAAAGCUUCAGUUUUGCCACAUAAUUAUAAAAUAGAUCAGGGCAUGCGUGUUUUAUUUUGUGUAGAUGAUGAGGGAGAGAAAUGCCUAGAAGGAUUCUUGCUGGAUGAAGCAUUUUACUGUGCUGCUAAAUACUUUUUAAUGAUUUCUGAUCAAAUAAAUUAAAUUAUGUUGUCAUGUCAUGUAUUUUAAACUACAACUAAAGUAGCUCAUAUUGUAGUGUAGGAGAGUUAGGGUUUAGGAUUGGGAUAACAUGUUAGUGUUUAGGAAUGUGAUUAAGGUUCAGGAUUGGGAUUAGGGUUUAGAAUUGGGAUUAAGGUUUAGGAUUGGGAUUAAUGUUCAGGGUUUGGGAUUAGGGUUUAGAAUUGGGAUUAAUGUUCAGGUCGUACAAUUAAGGUUUAGGAUUGGGAUUAGGGUUUGGAAUUGGGAUGGGAGUACGAUUAAGGUUUAGGAUUGGGAUUAGGGUUUAGAAUUGGAAUUAAUGUUCAGGGCGGACGAUUAAGGUUUAAGAUUGGGAUUAGGGUUUGGAAUUGGGAUGGGAGUACGAUUAAGGUUUAGGAUUGGGAUUAGGGUUUAGAAUUGGAAUUAAUGUUCAGGGCAUACGAUUAGGUUUUAGGAUUAAGGUUUAGAAUUGGGAUUAAUGUUCAGGCUGGAUGAUUAAGGUUUAAGACUGGGAUUAGGGUUUGGAAUUGGGAUUAAUGUUCAGGGUGUAUGAUUAAUGUUUAAGAUUGGGAUUAGGGUUUCUAAUUGGGAUUAAUGUUCAGGGCGUACGAUUAAGGUUUAGGAUUGGGAUUAGGGUUUUGAAUUGGGAUUAAGGUUUAGGAUUGGGAUUAGGGUUUAGAAUUGGGAUUAUUGUUCAGGGUGUAUGAUUAAGGUUUAGGAUUGGGAUUAGGUAAGUAGGGUAUGAUAAUUGUCUAGGAUUUGCAGAUCCUCCUUGUUGAUAGUUACAUGUGGAACAGCAGUGAAAGAAGUUAGUUCCUGUUCUCACUCACAUUUUAGCAACUAUAUACAGUCAUUCCCUCAUACGUUGGUACUGCACCAUGCAGAAGCAUCUCAAUUAUUUCCAAGCUACGUGCAGAUACGACUCUCAAAAUAACUGUAGGAUACGCACAGCAGAUAUCUGCCAAAAGCCUAUGUACAGUUAAAAUCGAGUAUAAUUAGGGUGUUAGUUUGUGUGUUGAUGUGUUUUUAUAUGAUGUUGUGUUUCAGACGAGGAUGAGUGUGUGUGUCAGAUUCUCCAUGUUCUCAGUCCUGCAUUAACAUCAU
Long non-coding RNA from Ictalurus furcatus (blue catfish), 2718 nucleotides. RefSeq lists it as uncharacterized. Lineage: Eukaryota; Metazoa; Chordata; Actinopteri; Siluriformes; Ictaluridae. The transcript has 2 exons. The record is from RefSeq and is a predicted model, not a curated record.